GUCAUGGCUCAGAUUGAACGCUGGCGGCAGGCCUAACACAUGCAAGUCGAACGGUAACAGAAAGCAGCUUGCUGCUUUGCUGACGAGUGGCGGACGGGUGAGUAAUGUCUGGGAAACUGCCCGAUGGAGGGGGAUAACUACUGGAAACGGUAGCUAAUACCGCAUAACGUCGCAAGACCAAAGAGGGGGACCGUUCGGGCCGUCUUGCCAUCGGAUGUGCCCACGAUGGGAGUUAGCUAGUAGGU
Molecule: ribosomal RNA, 245 nt
Filed under: uncultured bacterium
Lineage: Bacteria
Description: partial 16S ribosomal RNA
Rfam family: Bacterial small subunit ribosomal RNA
Source: RNAcentral